Molecule: ribosomal RNA, 433 nt
Filed under: uncultured bacterium
Lineage: Bacteria
Description: partial 16S ribosomal RNA
Rfam family: Bacterial small subunit ribosomal RNA
Source: RNAcentral
AGCGAACGCUGGCGGCAGUCUUAACACAUGCAAGUCGAGCGGGCACUUCGGUGUCAGCGGCAGACGGGUGAGUAACACGUGGGAACGUACCCUUCGGUUCGGAAUAACGCUGGGAAACUAGCGCUAAUACCGGAUACGCCCUUUUGGGGAAAGGUUUACUGCCGAAGGAUCGGCCCGCGUCUGAUUAGCUAGUUGGUGGGGUAAUGGCCUACCAAGGCGACGAUCAGUAGCUGGUCUGAGAGGAUGAUCAGCCACACUGGGACUGAGACACGGCCCAGACUCCUACGGGAGGCAGCAGUGGGGAAUAUUGGACAAUGGGCGCAAGCCUGAUCCAGCCAUGCCGCGUGAGUGAUGAAGGCCUUAGGGUUGUAAAGCUCUUUUGUCCGGGACGAUAAUGACGGUACCGGAAGAAUAAGCCCCGGCUAACUUCGUG